Molecule: ribosomal RNA, 484 nt
Filed under: uncultured bacterium
Lineage: Bacteria
Description: bacterial SSU rRNA
Rfam family: Bacterial small subunit ribosomal RNA
Source: RNAcentral
AAUCAACGCUGGCGGCGUGCCUCAGACAUGCAAGUCGAACGAUUAAGACUCUCUUCGGAGAGUGUAUAAAGUGGCGCACGGGUGAGUAACACGUAGGUAAUGUACCGAAGGGUGGGGAAUAACUUAGGGAAACUUAAGCUAAUACCGCAUAAUGCAGCGGCUCGACAUCGAGACAGUUGUUAAAGGAGCAAUCCGCCUUUUGAGCAGCCUGCGGCAGAUUAGCUAGUUGGUAAGGUAAUGGCUUACCAAGGCUACGAUCUGUAACCGACCUGAGAGGGUGGUCGGUCACACUGACACUGAAUAACGGGUCAAACUCCUACGGGAGGCAGCAGUCGGGAAUUUUGGGCAAUGGGCGAAAGCCUGACCCAGCAACGCCGCGUGAAGGAUGAAGUAUUUCGGUAUGUAAACUUCGUAAGAAUAGGAAGAAUAAAUGACGGUACUAUUUGUAAGGUCCGGCUAACUACGUGCCAGCAGCCGCGGUAAU